This is a long non-coding RNA of Oncorhynchus kisutch (coho salmon), 324 nucleotides long. RefSeq lists it as uncharacterized. The transcript has 3 exons. The record is from RefSeq and is a predicted model, not a curated record. Lineage: Eukaryota; Metazoa; Chordata; Actinopteri; Salmoniformes; Salmonidae.
CACAGAGACAGCAACAGAGGACACAGAGAAAGUGAUGGAGAGAGACAGAAGAAUAGAGUUCCAGACAGUUGUAGAAUGUAUGACAAGGCACAUUGUAAGAGCUAUAAAGAGAGAGGGAGAGAACAGGCAGAACCUGAUAUGUAAAUGAGCAGAGCAAAUGAAACUAAUUUUUGACGACCUGAUGAUCAUCCAGACUGUGUUUCUAUUGAGAGAUAAAAGGCUGGUUGAAUGAGUUGUCUAUGAAAGCUACUUCAUCUGUAAGAAAACAGGCGUCUGCACCAGUGACUGGGUCAGUGCUCUAAAAUGAGUCUCUCUGGGGAGAGA